RNAcentral lists this long non-coding RNA (1361 nucleotides) under Oryzias javanicus (javanese ricefish). RNAcentral's name for it is "lncRNA (ENSOJAG00000004698.1)". Lineage: Eukaryota; Metazoa; Chordata; Actinopteri; Beloniformes; Adrianichthyidae. The record is from RNAcentral.
UGCAGUAACUCAGCUGACAGUAUCACAAACUCUUACCAAUUUCGUAUAGUAAACCUGCAACACAGACACUUUGGUGUGUGUAAUUCUUUGCUUGUCCUACUUUGACAGGUGCCAGAAUUGCAGCCUGUUGUCAGAGACUUCAUCAUGAACAGGACCUUCAAGAUCGUUGGUCCACAACUGGAAAAUUUCAACACAGAGGACUUUUACAUUUGGUUCCAUAUCAAACUGGUAUAUGUCCUUGCAAGUUUCACUCCAGAGAUGCUCCAGCUUACAGUCCAAACAACCAACUGUACAAACUACCACGUAGUGUAAGUUAACUUUUGCCAGCAGUCACUACCUAAUGCAUCCAACUUACAAGUAUCUGUGAGCUAAUGAUUAUACAUGAUUGUUUGGCUACGAUCUGCAGUGUGAGUGGCAUGGCCAUGGUGUACUCUUCCAUACCAGAGGAUACACAACAAGGACUUGCAAAUGUUCUCCUGGGCUACCUAAAAAAUCUUGCCGGUGAAAUCAACACACCAGCUUGCAGGCAGGGAAUCCAGAGUGAUGCAGAAUGGAUUCAAAUAAACUUGGGUCCAUUUAAUCAAUUUGUAGCAUACCAAGAUCUGAAAGUCUUCAACCUCUCCCAGGAGGCCAUUGUAAGCAUCCUCUCACCUCAAGAGAAAGCACAGCUCAUACUGGACCCGAGCAGUGGAGCUUUGGAGAAUGUGACCCUUGUAAAAGGCCUGCUCACAAACUUGACACAGUCUGGCGAUGUGGGGCAGCUCACUCAGUUCUUCCAGGCUUUUGCAGAGGUCAACAAACAGGUAAAUGUUUCACUCAGGCUUUUUAAAAAGCUGCUUAACAAAAUGGUCAGAGAAGCCUCAUUCCAACAUAAAAUUGCUUUGUGGACUUAUCUCAGGAUCAUAUUUGUUUCCGCGGUGGGAUUUGAUUCACAUAUACCUACCCUAGAAACAAUACAUGUCACACAUGCCUGCCCCCCCCUACUUAUUUUCCACGUACCUUACGACUGAUUUCUUCUUUUUUUAAGAAAAAUACUUUUGUUUCCUUUCCAGAUGAAUACGAGCUUCAUCAAAAACACAGCUGUACGAGACACAAUCUUGAACCUGACUUUGACAGCUCUUGCUCCAGAAUUUGAGACAUUUGAGCCUUUGGGCUUUGAGCUGUGGUUCCAGCAGUAUUUGCCCCUGUUAUAGCCAGCUUCCAACCAGACAGCUUGUGGGUGAUCCCCAUAAACAUCAGCUGUGCUUCCUAUACAGCUAUGUAAGAGACAGUUCUCAAGACAGAAGAAAUGUUGGCCAUUUCUGGAUCCCUGUUACCAGUCAAAUUCACAAAUUUGUUUUUUUCUUCUCUUCAGACUUACU